AAAGCAAGAACUAUGGCAUCUGACUUUGAUUGCAAUUUGAAAUUAGCCAACAUCCAUUUGGUGGAGUUGGAAUGGGACAAACAAAAUAUGGGACCCCAAACAUUUGGUGACUUUAAAUGGGACCAUGGGAUGCUUACCCAUUUCGAAGGUCUAUGAUGGAGGAUUUGUUUCUGGCUUCACAAUAGUAGAUGUAUCUGGUGGUUGUGUAUGGUAAAUUGCAGUGGCCAGUGAGAUGGGCAUGAUGCAAAGUGCCUUUGAUUGAAGAAACUGCAUGGCAGCACCAACAUUUUCUUCCAUCAGCUUUGCUACCUGUCGCUCCGUUCCAUCGUUCGACCACUUCUCCCACGCUGGUUGGUUUCUUCCAUCUUCGCCGGUUUCAUCCUAUAUAUCAGGAAGAGCUAACUUAGCCCAAGUGUGAAAAGGAAAGAAUGAAAUAUGUUAUAUUAUCCUCCAUAAAUAUCAUGUUUUCUUUAUUACCUCAACUGAAGAUAGUGGGAUAUCCGUUACAAGUGGUGCAACCGCACCAGCUCCGCCCAAUCUACUCAUGCUUAAAACCUGUUAAUGAUAAAAAAAUAUUGGUCAAUAAAAAGGGCCAAAAGCAAUAAUAAAAUUUCAACCAUCAUAACAUCCAUUUUUGUGGACACUCCAUUUCAGAAUGAGCGAGGAAUGCACUACUAAAUAAGCCAAUGAAUAUUCUAACUUCUAUUGCAUGAUUCACAUCUUUUUGUUAUAUUCAAUUUAUAAUUUGUCAUCCAUAGUGGAGGCAACAAUAUAUGUAAAUUUAUGAGCACACAAAACCGACCUAUGAAGUGAUUUUAAUAAAAUAUCAUAAUAAUUAUAUUUGUAAUUUUUACAAAUCAUUAAUUUAUAACAUGAAUGGAACAACAAAAUUGUUUACAAAUUUUUUUCAAAAAAGUAGAUCUUAUUAAUUUAACUAAUUAACACAGGUCGAAACUGUAAAAAUUUAUGAUAUAAUAAAGACUAUUAAUUAUCAAAUAAUAAUUGAAUAAACGGUUGGAUUAAGAGCCUGUUUAGAGUUUACUAUACAAGUCAAAUGGGGAUAGAUCCAUAAAAAACGGAAUCCGACCACCCAUGACCCAUCAGAAUCUCUCUUUCUUUCUCCCCAAUGAUUUAACUUCUAAUAAUGAUUAAGAAGAAAAAGAAGUCAAAAUUACUUUAGGAAACACAAGAAGCACCCCCCAAAAUAAAGUAGCACUAUAAUUUUCUCUUGGACUAUCAACACUCACAUUGAAACAACCAACCAUAAUCUAUUCUACCUUUUCCAUUUCCUUUUAAAUAAACUAUUACAACAAUAUUUAUAAAUUACAUAGAUAUAUAUAUACCCUUCCUCUAUCCCUUUUACAAGGUCCCACAACCACUAGCAAAAAUUAGAGCCCCCACUAGAAAAGUGCCAUCAUCAUUUCCCACUAACCCCACCAAAAAGAAAAAAAAAAUAGCAUAUCAAGUGAGCUUUGACAAUUUUCCUCCUCCACUUGAGCUUGGCAAGACAUCAAGGGCCUGCCUGCAUUUUUUUUAGGCAUUGACAUCUUAACCUGUUUUGAGAGGAGAAAAAAAAAAACAACAAAAAAAGCUGGAAAGGAAAGGCAAAAGCAAGAACUAUGGCAUCUGACUUUGAUUGCAAUUUGAAAUUAGCCAACAUCCAUUUGGUGGAGUUGGAAUGGGACAAACAAAAUAUGGGACCCCAAACAUUUGGUGACUUUAAAUGGGACCAUGGGAUGCUUACCCAUUUCGAAGGUCUAUGAUGGAGGAUUUGUUUCUGGCUUCACAAUAGUAGAUGUAUCUGGUGGUUGUGUAUGGUAAAUUGCAGUGGCCAGUGAGAUGGGCAUGAUGCAAAGUGCCUUUGAUUGAAGAAACUGCAUGGCAGCACCAACAUUUUCUUCCAUCAGCUUUGCUACCUGUCGCUCCGUUCCAUCGUUCG
This 1939-nucleotide long non-coding RNA is filed under the name Jatropha curcas. RNAcentral describes it as "long non-coding RNA (JCUR_LNC003363)". The record is from RNAcentral. Lineage: Eukaryota; Viridiplantae; Streptophyta; Magnoliopsida; Malpighiales; Euphorbiaceae.